AAGAGAUGUGUGAGGGGCCGAGAGGCGCCGAGCAUAUUAAGAGGGUGUGGUUUUGAUGAGGGGGUUGUAGUAGUGCGAUACGUUGCGCUGCUACAUGCUCCUUUUCACUAUUCAUUCGCGAUCUUCAACCACGUAUUGAGCAAGUGAUUACGACACA
RNAcentral lists this unclassified non-coding RNA (157 nucleotides) under soil metagenome. Its description in RNAcentral is "partial internal transcribed spacer 1". The record is from RNAcentral.